AGUGAACGCUGGCGGUAGGCCUAACACAUGCAAGUCGAACGGCAGCACAGUAAGAGCUUGCUCUUACGGGUGGCGAGUGGCGGACGGGUGAGGAAUACAUCGGAAUCUACUUUUUCGCGGGGGAUAACGUAGGGAAACUUACGCUAAUACCGCAUACGACCUACGGGUGAAAGCAGGGGAUCUUCGGACCUUGCGCGAUUGAAUGAGCCGAUGUCGGAUUAGCUAGUUGGCGGGGUAAAGGCCCACCAAGACGACGAUCCGUAGCUGGUCUGAGAGGAUGAUCAGCCACACUGGAACUGAGACACGGUCCAGACUCCUACGGGAGGCAGCAGUGGGGAAUAUUGGACAAUGGGCGCAAGCCUGAUCCAGCCAUACCGCGUGGGUGAAGAAGGCCUUCGGGUUGUAAAGCCCUUUUGUUGGGAAAGAAAAGCAGCAGGUUAAUACCCCGCUGUUCUGACGGUACCCAAAGAAUAAGCACCGGCUAACUUCGUG
This 492-nucleotide ribosomal RNA is filed under the name uncultured bacterium. RNAcentral describes it as "partial 16S ribosomal RNA". It matches the Rfam family "Bacterial small subunit ribosomal RNA", at positions 29 to 507 of the family's 1533-position model. The record is from RNAcentral.